CAACCACAGGGUUUGUCUCAGUACGGCGAGUGAGCGGCAAGAGCUCAAAUUUGAAAGCUGGCUCCUUCGGGGUCCGCAUUGUAAUUUGCAGAGGAUGCUUCGGGUGCGGCCCCUGUCUAAGUGCCCUGGAACGGGCCGUCAGAGAGGGUGAGAAUCCCGUCUGGGAUGGGGUGUCCGCGCCCGUGUGAAGCUCCUUCGACGAGUCGAGUUGUUUGGGAAUA
This 221-nucleotide ribosomal RNA is filed under the name uncultured Aspergillus. Its description in RNAcentral is "partial 28S ribosomal RNA". It matches the Rfam family "Eukaryotic large subunit ribosomal RNA", at positions 62 to 282 of the family's 3401-position model. Lineage: Eukaryota; Fungi; Ascomycota; Eurotiomycetes; Eurotiales; Aspergillaceae. The record is from RNAcentral.